This 1062-nucleotide long non-coding RNA is filed under the name Canis lupus familiaris (dog). RNAcentral describes it as "lncRNA (ENSCAFG00040002441.1)". The record is from RNAcentral. Lineage: Eukaryota; Metazoa; Chordata; Mammalia; Carnivora; Canidae.
GCAAAACAGGUAUCUUCCCAGAAAACGGGCUGGAUGGUUUGUGAGAAGAGGCAGGUCAGGGCUGGUGCGCCCAAGACCAUGGGUGACCCCUGCGAGGAGGGGCAUGUGGCCCCCAGGGGUGCAGCGGGCAGGGCCACAGAGCAAAGCCCCACACGCCUCCCUGCGCUACUGCCAUCGGGGCUGGGAAGGAUGCCACCGGAGGUCAGAGGUCAGGGGAACUCUGCCCUGUGGCCCCGGGGUCGCCUAGCCCAACCUCCUCCAGAGGAGACGACCCCGUCCGUGGCCGACCGGCCCAGAGCCGAGGAGCAGCGCAGGUGGACUGAGGACCGUCCAGGGGACCGGGGGCUCCCAGGAGUCCGGCCUUCGCAGGUCUACCCAGCACCAGGGGAACCGUAAGCCCCGUCACUGUUAGGCCUGGGGCCCCAUCAGCUCAUGGCUGCCAGGUUUUCUAAAAUGUACAAAAUGAAGAAGAUCUUAACCCUAAGUGACUAGGACCCACGGACUCCCCAGUAAGGACUGGUUCCAUCGCCCCUCAUGGAAGGGCCGUGGACGGAGCCGGAACCUCUGGGCACCCCCGCUGGGACCCAGCCAGGGGGAAGCAGUCGGAGGUGUGUAGGUCAGGUUUGGUGUCUGUGGGGUUCAUGGGUAACUGUCUCCCUUGGGCAGGGACAGCAGGGGCCUUCAGGGUCUGGGGACAGCGGGCGCAGGCCUGUGGCCCCCCAACCCCUCCAGCCCCCUCCAACCCUCCCAGCCCCCCAGGCCCCAGUCCUCUCCUUCCCCGAUCACCCUCACAGGGACCCCAACCACCUCCGCAUGGGAAGGCAGCGGGCUCCUUCCACCAAGCUGACCCACUGGGGUCUCUCAAGAGCCUCUGGGAAACGUGGGUGGCAUCUUGGGGUCUCGGGCUUAUGCUCUUUGCCACAUCCUAGCAGUUCUGACUGGAUGCUUUUCUACGUCAUCGAAGGACUUUGCUCACAGCUAAUAGCACCGGGUUCCCAGACACGGGGUGCCACAGACUGCCCCCCCACGCGCUGACUCCCCUCCCUGCCCACAGACAUGGCU